RNAcentral lists this ribosomal RNA (370 nucleotides) under uncultured bacterium. Its description in RNAcentral is "bacterial SSU rRNA". It matches the Rfam family "Bacterial small subunit ribosomal RNA", at positions 527 to 898 of the family's 1533-position model. The record is from RNAcentral.
GGAGGGUGCAAGCGUUAUCCGGAUUUACUGGGUUUAAAGGGAGCGCAGGCGGGCUGAUAAGUCAGUGGUGAAAUCCCCGAGCUUAACUUGGGAACUGCCAUUGAUACUAUUGGUCUUGAAUGUUGUGGAGGUAAGCGGAAUAUGUCAUGUAGCGGUGAAAUGCAUAGAUAUGACAUAGAACACCUAUUGCGAAGGCAGCUUACUACGCAAAUAUUGACGCUGAGGCUCGAAAGCGUGGGGAUCAAACAGGAUUAGAUACCCUGGUAGUCCACGCCCUAAACGAUGAUUACUCGACGUGCGCGAUAUUACAGUGCGCGUCUGAGCGAAAGCAUUAAGUAAUCCACCUGGGAAGUACGACCGCAAGGUUGAA